AUUGUCAUAAGCAUAGACCUUUAGCUUGAUGCCUUCAUGAGAUAAAGGGGAAACUGGAGCUUGGAACUUGAUUUCAUCCACAGGAACGGCUGGAAAAUCAUCUUCAAUCAUUUCACCUGGAAGUCUCCCAAGAGGACAUGAGUAUCCUGUUAAGACAUCCUUUUAUGUUUUCAGUAGCUUUGCAGUUUUGUCUUUGAGUUGCUCAAGGCAAGAAGACCCGGUGCCAGCAAGACUGAAACAAAAAAGCAAAAGAGGUGAGCAUGGAAGAGAUCAUUGGGUUUGACAUUUCAACGCUUGGGCCUAUUAAUUUUUUAUGCCCUGCUACUUGUAUAUCGUUAAUAAAAAUCUGACGAAAAA
Molecule: long non-coding RNA, 357 nt
Organism: Homo sapiens (human)
Lineage: Eukaryota; Metazoa; Chordata; Mammalia; Primates; Hominidae
Exons: 3
Source: RefSeq, a predicted model, not a curated record